Molecule: transfer RNA, 77 nt
Filed under: Salinarimonas ramus
Lineage: Bacteria; Pseudomonadati; Pseudomonadota; Alphaproteobacteria; Hyphomicrobiales; Salinarimonadaceae
Also listed under: 9 other names
Description: tRNA-Pro
Rfam family: tRNA
About the family: Transfer RNA (tRNA) molecules are approximately 80 nucleotides in length.
Source: RNAcentral
CGGGGCGUAGCGCAGCCUGGUAGCGCAUCUGCUUUGGGAGCAGAGGGUCGCUGGUUCGAAUCCGGCCGCCCCGACCA